GUGAGUUGAGGAUUGUACAAAGCAGCAGCUUGUUGCAGUUCAGGUGAGCAUUUCCCAUUUCUGCUCCUUAAGGCCAAUUCUGCAGGGGCACAACCCAUUGGACCUGUCCCUGUUACAAGAACCCUCCGUGCUCUAAGAUCAUAUUGUCUCUGAAGAAGUUUUCUGUACUCAGGAAUGAUAAAUUUCACAUAAUUUGGUACUGAAUACUGCUGAGACCUUAAAGAGUUAGGCACCAAGUAAUAGUU
RNAcentral lists this unclassified non-coding RNA (245 nucleotides) under Hevea brasiliensis (rubber tree). Lineage: Eukaryota; Viridiplantae; Streptophyta; Magnoliopsida; Malpighiales; Euphorbiaceae. The record is from RNAcentral.